RNAcentral lists this non-coding RNA (302 nucleotides) under Triticum aestivum (bread wheat). RNAcentral describes it as "Bacterial small subunit ribosomal RNA". It matches the Rfam family "Bacterial small subunit ribosomal RNA", at positions 571 to 866 of the family's 1533-position model. Lineage: Eukaryota; Viridiplantae; Streptophyta; Magnoliopsida; Poales; Poaceae. The record is from Rfam by way of RNAcentral.
GCAUGUAGUUCGAAUUUGAAUUCUGCACAUAAAUGCAUUGAAAACUCAGUUAAUGCAUAAAGAUGUCCAAACGGACCCCGAAAAAUCACAAAAAUUGACACAACACUCCUGGAGCGGUGAAAUGCAUUGAGAUCGGAAAGAACACCAACGGCGAAAGCACUCUGCUGGGCCGACACUGACACUGAGAGACGAAAGCUAGGGGAGCAAAUGGGAUUAGAGACCCCAGUAGUCCUAGCCGUAAACGAUGGAUACUAGGUGUUGUGCGACUCAACCCGUGCAGUAUUGUUGUUCUAUGUUGAGAC